RNAcentral lists this ribosomal RNA (468 nucleotides) under uncultured bacterium. Its description in RNAcentral is "partial 16S ribosomal RNA". It matches the Rfam family "Bacterial small subunit ribosomal RNA", at positions 28 to 507 of the family's 1533-position model. The record is from RNAcentral.
GACGAACGCUGGCGGCGUGCUUAACACAUGCAAGUCGAACGGAAAGGCCCUGCUUUUGUGGGGUGCUCGAGUGGCGAACGGGUGAGUAACACGUGAGUAACCUGCCCUUGACUUUGGGAUAACUUCAGGAAGCUGGGGCUAAUACCGGAUAGGAGCUCCUGCUGCAUGGUGGGGGUUGGAAAGUUUCGGCGGUUGGGGAUGGACUCGCGGCUUAUCAGCUUGUUGGUGGGGUAGUGGCUUACCAAGGCUUUGACGGGUAGCCGGCCUGAGAGGGUGACCGGACACAUGGGGGAUGAGUGGAGGCGCAGAGGCCGACGGGAGGCAGGAGGGGGGAUGAUGGGGGAAUGGGCGGGAGAGUGAAGCCGCUGCGCCGCGUGCGGGAUGACGGGCGUCGGGUUGUAAACCGCUUUCGGCUGUGACGAAGCGGGAGUGGCGGUAAUGGGGAAAGAAGCACCGGCUGGAUACGUG